Molecule: ribosomal RNA, 497 nt
Filed under: uncultured bacterium
Lineage: Bacteria
Description: partial 16S ribosomal RNA
Rfam family: Bacterial small subunit ribosomal RNA
Source: RNAcentral
GACGAACGCUGGCGGCGUGCCUAAUACAUGCAAGUUGAGCGAUGAAGAUUGGUGCUUGCACCAAUUUGGAGAGCAGCGAACGGGUGAGUAACGCGUGGGGAAUCUGCCUUUGAGCGGGGGACAACAUUUGGAAACGAAUGCUAAUACCGCAUAACAACUUUAAACAUAAGUUUUAAGUUUGAAAGAUGCAAUUGCAUCACUCAAAGAUGAUCUCGCGGUGUAUUAGCUAGUUGGUGAGGUAAAGGCUCACCAAGGCCAUGAUACAUAGCCGACCUGAGAGGGUGGAUGGGCACAAUGGGAACUGGAACCGGGUCCAGAUCCUACGGGAGGGCGCAAGAGGGAAACCUUGGGAAAUGGGGGAAAGCCUGCCGAGGAACGGCGGGUUAAGUGAUGAGGGUCUCGGAACCGUAAACCUCUGUUGUAGGGAAAAACGAUAUGUGGAGUGGAAAGCUCACCUAUUGACGGUAACUACUCAGAAAGCCACGGCUAACUACGUG